This 500-nucleotide ribosomal RNA is filed under the name uncultured bacterium. RNAcentral describes it as "bacterial SSU rRNA". It matches the Rfam family "Bacterial small subunit ribosomal RNA", at positions 15 to 507 of the family's 1533-position model. The record is from RNAcentral.
GAUCCUGGCUCAGGAUGAACGCUAGCGGCAGGCUUAAUACAUGCAAGUCGUGGGGCAGCAGGUUUGUAGCAAUACAGAUGCUGGCGACCGGCAAACGGGUGCGGAACACGUACAGAACCUUCCUUGAGCGGGGAAUAGCCCAGAGAAAUUUGGAUUAAUACCCCAUAGUAUAAUGAAGUGGCAUCACUUUAUUAUUAAAGAUUUAUCACUCGAAGAUGGCUGUGCGGCUGAUUAGGUAGUUGGCGGGGUAAAGGCCCACCAAGCCUGCGAUCAGUGACUGGUGUGAGAGCACGACCAGUCACACGGGCACUGAGACACGGGCCCGACUCCUACGGGAGGCAGCAGUAAGGAAUAUUGGUCAAUGGAGGCAACUCUGAACCAGCCAUGCCGCGUGGAGGAUGAAGGUCCUCUGGAUUGUAAACUUCUUUUAUAUGGGACGAAAAAAGGCUUUUCUAAGUCGUCUGACGGUACCAUAUGAAUAAGCACCGGCUAACUCCGUG